GCCAUUAGGUACCGAUAUGAGAUCCUCAGACCCCUUGUGAGACCAUAUGCUGGUGCGGUUGGUACUGGGUUCCUUUUAAUGCAAGACAAUGCUAGACCUCAUGUGGCUGGAGUGUAUCAGCAGUUCCUGCAAGACUGUUCCGCCUGUUCCCCAGACCUGAAUCCAAUUGAGCACAUAUGGGACAUCACGUCAUGUGUUUUUGUUUUCAUGUGCUGGAUAUAAACUUCUGUACAUAUCAACAUAUACAUAGGCUAAGUUACCC
Molecule: non-coding RNA, 262 nt
Organism: Pelobates cultripes (western spadefoot toad)
Lineage: Eukaryota; Metazoa; Chordata; Amphibia; Anura; Pelobatidae
Source: the annotation of a GenBank genome assembly